Molecule: long non-coding RNA, 1550 nt
Filed under: Salmo salar (Atlantic salmon)
Lineage: Eukaryota; Metazoa; Chordata; Actinopteri; Salmoniformes; Salmonidae
Description: lncRNA (ENSSSAG00000104358.1)
Source: RNAcentral
AGCAAAAGAUGACUUAGUUGAGUCACUGACUGACUGUGCCAUUGAAAUCUGGUCUAAACUCGUUAUUCAAGCCUAGGGCCUUACAGACCGACCGGUUGAUUGUUUAGCAACAAAACCGAUACUUGCACAACUAUGGGGAAAAACAGGCUUGGCUUAGAUUGUUGACAACAUGUAAACUAUAUUUAGUCUCCAAAUGUUAAUUGAAAACAUACAUAUAUUUGCACAAUGAGCAUUUGUUGUCUCAAAUACAUCGUUACAGUUGUUGGCUAGCUAGCAAAUUUUAGCCAUAUUAGCGUUGACAUGAAAUCAGUCAAAACACCUCAAAACAAGACAUGGCAUCAAGAAUAAGACAAACCUAGCUGAAACGAACAAUCCACCUACGAUUCCCCACAUGGCAGCUUGUUGUCAUUGCUGCUAUCUGACCGUUCAGACUCAUAACAACGCACAGCUUCUGGCCCCCUCGAUGCACGCAUCAUUUUCCUGACUUUGUCUGCCAACCCGUCUAUGGGAAGUGAUCUGUCGACCUGUGUGGAGGUAGAUACAUACAAACAGAAAGGUCAGAGGGAAACAGUCUGACCCGUCUUACCGCCUCAUUUGUCAUCUCCCUUCACUGGCUGUGUGAGCGGUAGCUGACAGACGGGGUAUAAGCCUGGCCUGUCUGGUGUUGAGAGCCGGGCUUUCCACGCUGAAUAGAGAAACUAUGCACCAACGCCGGAGGAAAACAUGUAACGACACACACUGGCACACUCCCCCACUGAGAGCUGCCUUAGAGAGGACCUGAGCCCUCGGACCAUGGCUUAGAACUACCUGUCCUGAUGACUCCUUGCUGUCCCCAGUCCACCUGGUCAUGCUGCUGCUCCAGUUUCAACUGUUCUGCCUGUGGCUAUGGAACCUUGACCUGUUCACUGGACGUGCUACCUUGUCCAGGACCUGCUGUUUUGGACACUCUCUCUACCGCACAUGCUGUCUCUAACUCUGAAUGAUCGGCUAUGAAAAGCCAACUGACAUUUACUCCUGAGGUGCUGACCUGUUGCACCCUCUACACCCACUGUGAUUAUUAUUAUCUGAUCCUGCUGGUCAUCUAUGAACAUUUGAACAUCUUGGCCAUGUUCUGUUAUAAUCUCCACCCUGCACAGCCAGAAGAGGACUGGCCAGAGCCUGGACUCAGAGCCUGGUUCCCCUCUAGGUUUCUUCCUAAGUUCUGGCCUUUCUAGGGAGUUUUUCCUAGCCACCAUGCUUCAACAUCUGCAUUGCUUGCUGUUUGGGGUUUUAGGCUGGGUUUCUGUACAGCACAAAAGGGCUUUAGAAAUAAGUUGCAAUCGGGAUUCAAACUGGCAACCAUGCGGGUCGCAACCCAUGUGUAACGCCCUACCACCUGUAAGCAGAGAUGUGCAGUAUUUCAAUUACUUUUGAUUAUUUAGUAAUUUGUAUUAUACUGGUCUGAACUCCAAUAUAUUUUGUAACAAAAUACUUUUCUAUACCAUUUUGUGUCCCCCUUUCACCCUGCAUUGAUAUCAGAAGUCUGAUGGCACUAUGGUGUGAUAAGAGCG